Long non-coding RNA from Cyprinus carpio (common carp), 495 nucleotides. RefSeq lists it as uncharacterized. The record is from RefSeq and is a predicted model, not a curated record. Lineage: Eukaryota; Metazoa; Chordata; Actinopteri; Cypriniformes; Cyprinidae. The transcript has 3 exons.
AAUAGGUAUUAGGGUCUUUAAGCAACAGCCUCUGGUGGAACGGCAACGGCAUUCUGGCGUUGUAUUGCGCAUGCGCAAAUUUAACUGCUACUUUGUGACGUUCUACUUUAACGGUCUACUACGGGAGAACAGCUGAUUUGCCGGCGUCGCUACAACGUGAGAGAUUAGAUAUGUCUGUUGUUAGCAACAACACCUCAGGCAGCAUUGAGAUUAGAGAUGAUGUGAAGCGAACAAUAGUCCCUAUGGAGUGGAAAGAGCAACAUGAUGUGCUUCUCUGUAGAGAAAUCCUGCUCACAGAACCAUACAGGUACAAAAAGGGCAGUGUUGACAAGGGCAAGGCCUGGUCAAGUAUAGCAGACACACUGAAUUGCUCUCAAGAACCCAAAUUCAGAGUUAUGCAGAGGUCAGUGAGGGAGAGAUUCAACUUGAUUCAGACGAAAUACAAGGCCAGAAACAAUAAAGACGAGAAGAGCAGUGGAACAUCUGCAGAAAUAA